GUCUAUGUUGAGUAUAUUGCUGAGCCCAGCCCAAGUAUUGCAAGCCCAGUUCAAUAACCGAAUUUUGUUGUAACAGAAUUCCUCUUUUCCAGCUGUAUUAUUUUUAUUCUGUUAUUUCAGUUGUUGACUAUAUAAGUGAAUAAUAGCUGUAAUAAUAAAUGUGUGUAAUAAACUUUCAACUACUCUCUGUGUAAUUCAUUAUUCUCUAUUCAAUAAAAUUGCUUCUGCCUUUCUUUUCUUGAGUUCUUCUCUUCAAUAACUGGAUUUCAAUGGCGUUUUUCCGAAGUUUUGACAUGGUAUCAGAGCUAUGCAUUUGUUUCCCGGAGUUGUGAAUUUUUCGACCGAAAAAUUCAGCUGGUAGUAUAUGAUGAUAAUUUCAUUAGAUGCGAGUAUGGUGAUAAUUUUUGCUAAAAACACGACUGCACAUAAAAAAGGAUUGAAGAUGCAUUUGGUGUUUCGUUGUUCAUUGUUGCAGUUUAUUAUUAUUAUUAUAUUGUAAAAUAACAAUUUAUUUGGAUGAAUGUAUAUUACGAUUCUGGUGUUUUGUUGUUAA
Long non-coding RNA from Chenopodium quinoa (quinoa), 553 nucleotides. RefSeq lists it as uncharacterized. The transcript has 2 exons. Lineage: Eukaryota; Viridiplantae; Streptophyta; Magnoliopsida; Caryophyllales; Amaranthaceae. The record is from RefSeq and is a predicted model, not a curated record.